AACUCUGACAGCCAUUUCCAUG
RNAcentral lists this unclassified non-coding RNA (22 nucleotides) under Mus musculus (house mouse). RNAcentral describes it as "oocyte_clustered_small_RNA2281". The record is from RNAcentral. Lineage: Eukaryota; Metazoa; Chordata; Mammalia; Rodentia; Muridae.